CAGAGGUUUUGUAACUCUCUUUACUAUUGAUUACAAAACAAAUUGUCAAUUUUUUCUACCGGUGCAGGCAAGACAGUGUGAAGGUAGGUAACCAAACAGGCAUGGCUCAUACCUGCAUUCACUGAUUCCGCAAGAGGCUCCGACUGCACUGCGGGACUUCAAGGAGAUCUACCCUGUGUUUGUAUUGGACCCCUAUGACAACGUUGGUAUCAACCGAUGGAGGUUCCUCAUCAGAGCCCUUAAAAACUUGUAUUGCAGCCUGAGGAAACUCAAUUCUAGGAUCAUUGAAGAGAACAACGGGAAGGCUCCUCUGACCUACAAUCGGCUGCAGACCCUUGUCAAUAGUAUCGGUCCUCCCAAAAGGCCUAUCCCUGCUCCAUGUGAAUAUAUUUACUGUGUCCUGAUUCUCUGCCUUUUAUGACCUAAGUGUGCACUUGUUCACUUCCCUUCAUGGAUUUAAAAGGUGUAAGAAAUAUGGUGGAAACUUCCUCUAGCCCAUGCUUAGGCCAACACCAAUCCCAGCGCUUUUAACUUUGUGAGGAAGAGUGCACGAGGAAGAGUGCAUGGGUUGAAAAUGGCAGAUUUGGGCACUGAUAAGUGCCUAAAUUGGAACGCAGUACCCUGGGUAACAUGCUAUAAAUGACAGGUGCAGUACCUCGCUUUAUUAGCUGGGUGAUCUGCCAUAUGACAAUGACUUCAAAUGAAAUCCCAAGUUAAAAACCUUAGGAAAUGAUGGCACUCCCCCAUAACAUUGUUAAGACAAAGACGUCACCUCAUAUCAUAAAACUCAUGUCAUGUACAGUGUCAACGUUUAUGAUCAC
This is a long non-coding RNA of Coregonus clupeaformis (lake whitefish), 821 nucleotides long. RefSeq lists it as uncharacterized. The transcript is spliced from 3 exons. The record is from RefSeq and is a predicted model, not a curated record. NCBI's taxonomy places the organism in Eukaryota, Metazoa, Chordata, Actinopteri, Salmoniformes, Salmonidae.